AAUAGAGUGUCUGAUUAAAGUAGUAAAUUGUAAAUUUAUUUAAGAAUACGAAGUAUUCCUUUAUUA
Molecule: transfer RNA, 66 nt
Filed under: Hypsicera sp. ZJUH_2016019
Lineage: Eukaryota; Metazoa; Arthropoda; Insecta; Hymenoptera; Ichneumonidae
Description: tRNA-Tyr
Source: RNAcentral